Molecule: ribosomal RNA, 253 nt
Filed under: uncultured bacterium
Lineage: Bacteria
Description: partial 16S ribosomal RNA
Rfam family: Bacterial small subunit ribosomal RNA
Source: RNAcentral
UACGUAGGGGGCAAGCGUUGUCCGGAAUCAUUGGGCGUAAAGCGCGCGUAGGCGGUUCGGUAAGUCUGCUGUGAAAGUCCAGGGCUCAACCCUGGAAUGCCGGUGGAUACUGUCGGACUAGAGUACGGAAGAGGCGAGUGGAAUUCCCGGUGUAGCGGUGAAAUGCGCAGAUAUCGGGAGGAACACCAAUUGCGAAGGCAGCUCGCUGGGACGUUACUGACGCUGAGACGCGAAAGCGUGGGGAGCAAACAGG